RNAcentral lists this small RNA (799 nucleotides) under uncultured Fusarium. Its description in RNAcentral is "eukaryotic LSU rRNA". The stretch from base 523 to 799 matches the Rfam family "Eukaryotic large subunit ribosomal RNA", at positions 1 to 281 of the family's 3401-position model. The record is from RNAcentral. Lineage: Eukaryota; Fungi; Ascomycota; Sordariomycetes; Hypocreales; Nectriaceae.
CUUGGUCAUUUAGAGGAAGUAAAAGUCGUAACAAGGUCUCCGUUGGUGAACCAGCGGAGGGAUCAUUACCGAGUUUACAACUCCCAAACCCCUGUGAACAUACCUUAUGUUGCCUCGGCGGAUCAGCCCGCGCCCCGUAAAAAGGGACGGCCCGCCGCAGGAACCCUAAACUCUGUUUUUAGUGGAACUUCUGAGUAUAAAAAACAAAUAAAUCAAAACUUUCAACAACGGAUCUCUUGGUUCUGGCAUCGAUGAAGAACGCAGCAAAAUGCGAUAAGUAAUGUGAAUUGCAGAAUUCAGUGAAUCAUCGAAUCUUUGAACGCACAUUGCGCCCCCUGGUAUUCCGGGGGGCAUGCCUGUUCGAGCGUCAUUACAACCCUCAAGCUCUGCUUGGUAUUGGGCUCUGCCGGUCCCGGCAGGCCUUAAAAUCAGUGGCGGUGCCAUUCGGCUUCAAGCGUAGUAAUUCUUCUCGCUUUGGAGACCCGGGUGCGUGCUUGCCAGCAACCCCCAAUUUUUUCAGGUUGACCUCGGAUCAGGUAGGGAUACCCGCUGAACUUAAGCAUAUCAAUAAGCGGAGGAAAAGAAACCAACAGGGAUUGCCCUAGUAACGGCGAGUGAAGCGGCAACAGCUCAAAUUUGAAAUCUGGCUUUCGGGCCCGAGUUGUAAUUUGUAGAGGAUGAUUUUGAUGCGGUGCCUUCCGAGUUCCCUGGAACGGGACGCCAUAGAGGGUGAGAGCCCCGUCUGGUUGGAUGCCAAAUCUCUGUAAAUCUCCUUCGACGAGUCGAGUUGUUUGGGAAU